Molecule: ribosomal RNA, 67 nt
Filed under: Tulasnella danica
Lineage: Eukaryota; Fungi; Basidiomycota; Agaricomycetes; Cantharellales; Tulasnellaceae
Description: partial 28S ribosomal RNA
Source: RNAcentral
AGAAUAUUAAUCAGCGGAGGAAAAGAAACUAAGGGAGGAUCCCUCAGAACUGCGAGGAGCGACACCA